GACGAACGCUGGCGGCGUGCUUAACACAUGCAAGUCGAACGGAAAGGCCCUGCUUUUGUGGGGUGCUCGAGUGGCGAACGGGUGAGUAACACGUGAGUAACCUGCCCUUGACUUUGGGAUAACUUCAGGAAACUGGGGCUAAUACCGGAUAGGUGAUCCUGCUGCAUGGUGGGGGUUGGAAAGUUUCGGCGGUUGGGGAUGGACGCGGGGCUUAUCAGGUUGUUGGGGGGGUAGUGGCUUACCAAGGCUUUGAAGGGUAGCCGGCCUGAGGGUGACCGGCCACCUUGCGACUGAGAUACGGCCCGGAGUCGUACGGGAGGCAGCAGUGGGGAAUAUUGCACAAUGGGCGGAAGCCUGAUGCAGCAACGCCGCGUGCGGGAUGACGGCCUUCGGGUGGUAGACCGCUUUCGCCUGUGACGAAGCGUUAGUGACGGUAAUGGGCAAAGAAGCACCGGCUAACUACGUG
RNAcentral lists this ribosomal RNA (466 nucleotides) under uncultured bacterium. Its description in RNAcentral is "partial 16S ribosomal RNA". It matches the Rfam family "Bacterial small subunit ribosomal RNA", at positions 28 to 507 of the family's 1533-position model. The record is from RNAcentral.